GGAGAAACCUGACGCAGCGACGUCGUGUGAGGGAAGAAGGCCUUCGGGUCGUAAACCUCUGUCAGAAGGGAAGAACAUCCGGGAGUCGAACAGCCUCCCGGCCUGACGGUACCUUCAGAGGAAGCGCCGGCUAACUCCGUGCCAGCAGCCGCGGUAAUACGGAGGGCGCAAGCGUUAAUCGGAAUCACUGGGCGUAAAGCGUGCGUAGGCUGCUUGAUAAGUCAGACGUGAAAUCCCUCGGCUCAACCGGGGAACUGCGUUUGAUACUGUCGAGCUAGAGUCCUGGAGAGGGUGGCGGAAUUCCUGGUGUAGGAGUGAAAUCCGUAGAUAUCAGGAGGAACACCGGUGGCGAAGGCGGCCACCUGGACAGGUACUGACGCUGAGGUACGAAAGCGUGGGGAGCAAACAGGAUUAGAUACCCUGGUAGUCCACGCGGUAAACGAUGGAUGCUAGGUGUCGGGGAGCGAUCUUCGGCGCCGCAGCUAACGCAUUAAGCAUCCCGCCUGGGGAGUACGGUCGCAAGGCUG
RNAcentral lists this ribosomal RNA (527 nucleotides) under sulfate-reducing bacterium enrichment culture. RNAcentral describes it as "bacterial SSU rRNA". It matches the Rfam family "Bacterial small subunit ribosomal RNA", at positions 374 to 896 of the family's 1533-position model. The record is from RNAcentral.